This 30-nucleotide small RNA is filed under the name Bombyx mori (domestic silkworm). RNAcentral describes it as "ovarian small RNA-31898". Lineage: Eukaryota; Metazoa; Arthropoda; Insecta; Lepidoptera; Bombycidae. The record is from RNAcentral.
UGACUAUCAAUAAGGGUGCUCUGCCCGAUA